RNAcentral lists this ribosomal RNA (413 nucleotides) under bacterium enrichment culture clone ALO1_GLFRUDD03HEQO3. RNAcentral describes it as "bacterial SSU rRNA". It matches the Rfam family "Bacterial small subunit ribosomal RNA", at positions 9 to 424 of the family's 1533-position model. The record is from RNAcentral.
GAGUUUGAUCAUGGCUCAGAUUGAACGCUGGCGGCAUGCCUUACACAUGCAAGUCGAACGGCAGCACGGGAGCUUGCUCCUGGGUGGCGAGUGGCGAACGGGUGAGUAAUGCAUCGGAACGUAUCCUGGAGUGGGGGAUAACGUAGCGAAAGUUACGCUAAUACCGCAUAUUCUGUGAGCAGGAAAGCGGGGGACCUUCGGGCCUCGCGCUCUUGGAGCGGCCGAUGUCGGAUUAGCUAGUUGGUGAGGUAAAGGCUCACCAAGGCGACGAUCCGUAGCAGGUCUGAGAGGAUGAUCUGCCACACUGGAACUGAGACACGGUCCAGACUCCUACGGGAGGCAGCAGUGGGGAAUUUUGGACAAUGGGGGCAACCCUGAUCCAGCCAUGCCGCGUGAGUGAAGAAGGCCUGGUU